Non-coding RNA from Gossypium raimondii (Peruvian cotton), 141 nucleotides. The record is from Rfam. Lineage: Eukaryota; Viridiplantae; Streptophyta; Magnoliopsida; Malvales; Malvaceae.
UGUUAAAAUUUUAUCAGUUUGUACUGUUAAAAAUCGACGUGGCUAACGGAAUAAUCAAGAAGUGAUACUUAGUGUGCCACGUGUACCUCAUGUUGAUGUACAAAGAUCAGUUAACAGUAGAAUUGGAAGUAAUUUUUAACA